GAUGAAGAACGUAGCGAAAUGCGAUAAGUAAUGUGAAUUGCAGAAUUCAGUGAAUCAUCGAAUCUUUGAACGCACCUUGCGCCCUUUGGCUAUUCUGAAGGGCAUGCCUGUUUGAGUAUCAUGAACACCUCAACUCUCAUGGUUUGCCAUGAUGAGCUUGGACUUUGGGGGUCUUGCUGGCCUACGGUCGGCUCCUCUGAAAUGAAUCAGCUUGCCAGUGUUUGGUGGCAUCACGGGUGUGAUAACUAUCUACGCUUGUCGUUUCCCACCAGGUAACCUUCAGUGAUGGAGGUUCGCUGGGGCUCAUAAAUGUCCCUCCACAGUGAGGACAGCUUUUGAACGUUUGAUCUCAAAUCAGGUAGGACUACCCGCUGAACUUAAGCAUAUCAAUAAGCGGAGGA
Molecule: unclassified non-coding RNA, 401 nt
Filed under: soil metagenome
Description: partial contains 5.8S ribosomal RNA, internal transcribed spacer 2, and large subunit ribosomal RNA
Rfam family: 5.8S ribosomal RNA (bases 1-121)
Source: RNAcentral